CCUACGGGAGGCUGCAGUGGGGAAUAUUGGACAAUGGGGGCAACCCUGAUCCAGCCAUGCCGCGUGUGUGAUGAAGGCCCUCGGGUUGUAAAGCACUUUCAGUGAGGAAGAACGCCUGGUGGUUAAUACCCAUCAGGAAAGACAUCACUCACAGAAGAAGCACCGGCUAACUCCGUGCCAGCAGCCGCGGUAAUACGGAGGGUGCGAGCGUUAAUCGGAAUUACUGGGCGUAAAGCGCGCGUAGGUGGCUUGAUAAGCCGGUUGUGAAAGCCCCGGGCUCAACCUGGGAACGGCAUCCGGAACUGUCAAGCUAGAGUGCAGGAGAGGAAGGUAGAAUUCCCGGUGUAGCGGUGAAAUGCGUAGAGAUCGGGAGGAAUACCAGUGGCGAAGGCGGCCUUCUGGACUGACACUGACACUGAGGUGCGAAAGCGUGGGUAGCAAACAGGAUUAGAUACCCCGGUAGUC
RNAcentral lists this ribosomal RNA (465 nucleotides) under Vreelandella stevensii. RNAcentral's name for it is "partial 16S ribosomal RNA". It matches the Rfam family "Bacterial small subunit ribosomal RNA", at positions 338 to 795 of the family's 1533-position model. The record is from RNAcentral. Lineage: Bacteria; Pseudomonadati; Pseudomonadota; Gammaproteobacteria; Oceanospirillales; Halomonadaceae.